UGCUGGGUUGCUCACGGUCCACGCGAGUGAGGCGAUCUAGACGUUGUUCCCGGCGGAUCGCAGCGCCUCCUGAGCGCGGGAUCUCUCCUUGCACCAGCGC
This 100-nucleotide transfer RNA is filed under the name Synechococcus sp. WH 7805. RNAcentral's name for it is "tRNA-OTHER". The record is from RNAcentral. Lineage: Bacteria; Bacillati; Cyanobacteriota; Cyanophyceae; Synechococcales; Synechococcaceae.